UGUGUGACUGCGUACCUUUUGUAUAAUGGGUCAGCGACUUAUAUUCUGUAGCAAGGUUAACCGCAUAGGGGAGCCGGAGGGAAACCGAGUCUUAAUUGGGCGUUAAGUUGCAGGGUAUAGACCCGAAACCCGGUGAUCUAGCCAUGGGCAGGUUGAAGGUUGGGUAACACUAACUGGAGGACCGAACCGACUAAUGUUGAAAAAUUAGCGGAUGACCUGUGGCUGGGGGUGAAAGGCCAAUCAAACCGGGAGAUAGCUGGUUCUCCCCGAAAGCUAUUUAGGUAGCGCCUCGUGAAUUCAUCUCCGGGGGUAGAGCACUGUUUCGGCUAGGGGGCCAUCCCGGCUUACCAACCCGAUGCAAACUGCGAAUACCGGAGAAUGUUAUCACGGGAGACACACGGCGGGUGCUAACGUCCGUCGUGAAGAGGGAAACAACCCAGACCGCCAGCUAAGGUCCCAAAGUCAUGGUUAAGUGGGAAACGAUGUGGGAAGGCCCAGACAGCCAGGAUGUUGGCUUAGAAGCAGCCAUCAUUUAAAGAAAGCGUAAUAGCUCACUGGUCGAGUCGGCCUGCGCGGAAGAUGUAACGGGGCUAAACCAUGCACCGAAGCUGCGGCAGCGAACGUAUCACUUAAAGCGAUUCAGCGGGUUACGAUUGACGGAGCGAAGCGACGUCAAAGCGUAUACAAAGUCGAGUCGGUUUAAGGAUACGUUCGUUGGGUAGGGGAGCGUUCUGUAAGCCUG
Molecule: ribosomal RNA, 742 nt
Filed under: Salmonella enterica subsp. enterica serovar Agona
Lineage: Bacteria; Pseudomonadati; Pseudomonadota; Gammaproteobacteria; Enterobacterales; Enterobacteriaceae
Description: partial 23S ribosomal RNA
Rfam family: Bacterial large subunit ribosomal RNA
Source: RNAcentral